Molecule: ribosomal RNA, 579 nt
Filed under: uncultured bacterium
Lineage: Bacteria
Description: partial 16S ribosomal RNA
Rfam family: Bacterial small subunit ribosomal RNA
Source: RNAcentral
UGUGGACGGAGUAUCGAUCCCUGCCGUGCCGACUCAUAACGCUUUGGCACUCCGCCUGGGAAGUACGGACGAAAGACUGAAACUCAAAGGAAAUUGAACGGRGACCCGCACAAACGGUGAAACAUGUGGAUCAAUUCGACGCAACGCGAAGAACCUUACCCGGRCUCGAACGAAAGAUGCGAUUCCCACGAAARUGGGAUCCCRAAAGGACGACUGACGAGGUGCUGCGUGACUGACGACRGCUCGUGACGUGAGAUGUUGGGUUGAGACCCGCGACGAGCGCRACCCUUGACCGCUGUUGCCGUCGGRUAAUGCUGGACGCUCUGUAGAGACUGCCGGUGAURAACCGAAGRAAGGUGGGGAUGACGUCGAGACARCAUGACCUUUGUGACUGGGGCUACACACGUGCUACUAUGACCGGUACUAACCGUCGCGAACCCGCGAGGGGGAGCUAAUCGGAGAAARCCGGUCUCRGUUCGRAUUGUAGACUGCUACUCGCCUGCAUGAGGUUGGAAUCGCUGGUAAUCGCGGAUCGGCACGCCGCGGUGAAUUCGUUCCCGGACCUUGUACACUACCGCC